RNAcentral lists this long non-coding RNA (1373 nucleotides) under Homo sapiens (human). RNAcentral's name for it is "HSALNT0304031". Lineage: Eukaryota; Metazoa; Chordata; Mammalia; Primates; Hominidae. The record is from RNAcentral.
CUGAAACAUAAUUGGCCAUAAGUUGAUCAUUGUUGAAGGCAAGUGACAGAUGGGAGCUCAUUAUAAUUUUCUCUAUUUUGGUGUAUGUUUAAGAUGUUCUAUGAUAAAAAGUUAGAAAUGAAAUAUGAGAUAUAUGAAUGCCUUUCUCAGAGACAAUUAUCUAAUUUGAAACUCAGUUUCCUUUAACUCAAGAUUUGUUUGCAUAUAUCUAAAUCACAUGGUUUUAUCUUGCAAAAAAGAAACCACAGCGUUAAACCCGGGCUUCUCUUCUCGGUUCUGCUUUCUUCCAGGGAUUCCAAGCGACAGGGACGGGGUUUCACUGUGUUGGCCAGGAUGGUCUCGAUCUCUUGACCGUGUGAUCUGCCUGCUUCGGCCUCCCAAAGUGCUGGUAUUACAGGCGUGAGCCACUGCGCCCAGUCAAAGAUGUUCUCUUUUAAGAUUACUUUUUAAAAAGACUCACACGGUACCUUCCCACAAGAAGACAUGGAGACUAUGUGACGUAGCCUGUGGGUCCCUGGACACCGGGACUAGAGGACCCUUCCCAAGAGCAGACCGCAGGCAAGAUACCAUUCAUUGGCCUCGCUGCCUGUGCCCGCGGAUUCCGCACGUGGCCACACCUCUUCUAUACAAGGCAAGGUGGCGAUAUUCCUGCUUCCCCUUCACCUUCCACCAUAAUUGUGUUUCCUGAGGCCUUCCCAACCAUGUUUCCUGUACAGCCUGCAGAACUGUGAGUCAUUUAACCUCUUUUCUUUAUAAAUUACCCAUUCUCAGGGAGUUCUUUAUAGCAAUGCAAGAAUGGACUAAUACACGCAGCUAAAGUUUUUCUUAAGCACUUAAAUUGUUGACUAUAAAAUGAUAAAUUUAACUAUGUCAAAAUAAAGAACAUUUGUUCACCAAGAGAUACCUUUAAAAAGUAAAAAGACAAAGUAAAAACUGGGACAAGAUAUUCAUAAUAUCAACCACAAAGGUUUAGUACCAAGAAUAUAUGUAGAACUGCUACAAAUCAAUUUUGUUAACAAAGCACAAAUAACCAGUAUAAUAAUGGGGAAAAAAAGCACCAAUGGCAUUUCACAGAAGAGGAAACAUAUAUGCCCAAUAAACUUAUGAAAAGAUUCAAAAAGAAAAGUGAAAAAAAUUAUGAAUACCUAGUAUAUGAUAGCACAAAAGGGUGACUAUAGUCAAAAUAAUUUAACUGUACAUUUAAAAAUACCUAAAAGAGUAUAAUUGGAUUGUUUAUAACACAAAACAUAAAUGCUUGAGGGGAUGGAUACCCCAUUUCCCAUGAUGUGAUUAUUAUGCAUUGUGUGCCUAUAUCAAAACAUCUCAUGUACCCCAUAAAUAUAUGUACCUAUUAUGUACCCACAAAAACUAAA